GUGGACGCCAGUCUGCAUGGAGCCGACCUUGAAAUACCACCCUUUAAUGUUUGAUGUUCUAACGUGGACCCGUGAUCCGGGUUGCGGACAGUGUCUGGUGGGUAGUUUGACUGGGGCGGUCUCCUCCUAAAGAGUAACGGAGGAGCACGAAGGUUGGCUAAUCCUGGUCGGACAUCAGGAGGUUAGUGCAAUGGCAUAAGCCAGCUUGACUGCGAGCGUGACGGCGCGAGCAGGUGCGAAAGCAGGUCAUAGUGAUCCGGUGGUUCUGAAUGGAAGGGCCAUCGCUCAACGGAUAAAAGGUACUCCGGGGAUAACAGGCUGAUACCGCCCAAGAGUUCAUAUCGACGGCGGUGUUUGGCACCUCGAUGUCGGCUCAUCACAUCCUGGGGCUGAAGUAGGUCCCAAGGGUAUGGCUGUUCGCCAUUUAAAGUGGUACGCGAGCUGGGUUUAGAACGUCGUGAGACAGUUCGGUCCCUAUCUGCCGUGGGCGCUGGAGAACUGAGGGGGGCUGCUCCUAGUACGAGAGGACCGGAGUGGACGCAUCACUGGUGUUCGGGUUGUCAUGCCAAUGGCACUGCCCGGUAGCUAAAUGCGGAAGAGAUAAGUGCUGAAAGCAUCUAAGCACGAAACUUGCCCCGAGAUGAGUUCUCCCUGAGACUUAAAGUCUCCUGAAGGAACGUUGAA
This 684-nucleotide ribosomal RNA is filed under the name Salmonella enterica. Its description in RNAcentral is "partial 23S ribosomal RNA". It matches the Rfam family "Bacterial large subunit ribosomal RNA", at positions 2164 to 2842 of the family's 2925-position model. The record is from RNAcentral. Lineage: Bacteria; Pseudomonadati; Pseudomonadota; Gammaproteobacteria; Enterobacterales; Enterobacteriaceae.